This 253-nucleotide ribosomal RNA is filed under the name uncultured bacterium. RNAcentral describes it as "partial 16S ribosomal RNA". It matches the Rfam family "Bacterial small subunit ribosomal RNA", at positions 524 to 776 of the family's 1533-position model. The record is from RNAcentral.
UACAUGUGGGGCAAGCGUUGUUCGGAAUUACUGGGCAUAAAGGGUGCGUAGGCGGCUUGUUAAGUCACUGGUGAAAGUUUUCGGCCCAACCGGAAAAUUGCCUGUGAUACUGGCGAGCUUGAGUGCGUGAGGGGUGGGGGGAACGAGCAGUGUAGCGGUGAAAUGCGUAGAUAUACGGAGGAACACCUGCGGCGAAGGCGGGUAGCUGGGCCAACACUGACGCUGAUGCGCGAAAGCUAGGGGAGCAAACGGG